Molecule: long non-coding RNA, 572 nt
Filed under: Homo sapiens (human)
Lineage: Eukaryota; Metazoa; Chordata; Mammalia; Primates; Hominidae
Description: long independently transcribed non-coding RNA 2971 (LINC02971)
Source: RNAcentral
GAUUCUUGUCUUUAAACUCUCUAGGGACGAUGCCGUCCUCACUGCCAGCCCCCAAGGCACACCCAUCCCCGUACCCUCCUUGCUACUGCUCAUCCAGGACCCCAUCUUUACGGGCCUCCCAAGUCAUAGGCGGUCACUCUCUUCUCUCCUUGGAUGCCCUUAACACAGAAAAUGAUCUGCGCCCUAGUUACCGCCUCUCCUACAGGAGCCCUCGGGAGACAGGCUUGUCGGGAAUCCUCAAAAAGGAUCUCUGCAUUUAAUGAGGAAGUGCUGUCAGCAGAAAGGAGAGGAAGCUUCACCCCGACCAUCCGCAGGACCCACAUCCCUCUCAGCGGGAAGGCAGAAUCAUUCAUCUAUUGCUCUCCUUGAAGGGCAGCUCCAGACACUCACGUGGACACAAGUAGGAAAAGCACAGAGUGUGUCAUCACACUGUGUACCUCAUACAGGUGACGUCCUGGAGAAACCUCUGGAAAAACAGAAAUUUUAUGACCCACAAUUAAAAUGAUUUAAGUAAUAAAUAACCCUGAUAGCUUGCCCCACCAAGUGUAUGCUAUGUUCCACACCCCAGGCCC